GUGCUCACUUUGGCAGCACAUGUAUUAAAAUUGGAACAAUACAGAGAUGACUACCAUGUCCCCUGCACAAGGAUGACUUGCCAAUUCUUAAAGUUUUCCAUAAUUUU
This is a small nuclear RNA of Otolemur garnettii (small-eared galago), 107 nucleotides long. The record is from Ensembl. NCBI's taxonomy places the organism in Eukaryota, Metazoa, Chordata, Mammalia, Primates, Galagidae.